Molecule: small nucleolar RNA, 74 nt
Organism: Microtus ochrogaster (prairie vole)
Lineage: Eukaryota; Metazoa; Chordata; Mammalia; Rodentia; Cricetidae
Gene: SNORD82
Rfam family: Small nucleolar RNA SNORD82
About the family: snoRNA U82 or Z25 is found in both humans and mice. U82/Z25 is a member of the C/D class of snoRNA which contain C (UGAUGA) and D (CUGA) box motifs. Most of the members of the box C/D family function in directing site-specific 2'-O-methylation of substrate RNAs.
Source: Ensembl
AGCACAAGUGAUGAAUGACAAAGGGACUUAAUACUGAAACCUGGUGUUGAGAUUCACUAUGUAUGCUGAUGUGC